This is a long non-coding RNA of Podarcis raffonei (Aeolian wall lizard), 1040 nucleotides long. RefSeq lists it as uncharacterized. The transcript is spliced from 3 exons. The record is from RefSeq and is a predicted model, not a curated record. NCBI's taxonomy places the organism in Eukaryota, Metazoa, Chordata, Lepidosauria, Squamata, Lacertidae.
GGCAACCCUCUCCCACCACAGGGAGAUAUUUGGGGUGGGGUCUUCUCCCCCCCGUCUGCUUUCUGUCUCCCUGUGCCUCAGUUACCCCCAGAUGCCUUCUCAACCUUUGCUUCCUUUUUCAAAACCAUCCUUCACUUUUUCCCACUCUGCUUCAGUUUUACCUCAAACUCCUCUUCCUAACGUUUAUUUUCUCUUUCUCCACUUUUUUACUAUUUCCACUCCUGACUUUCUCUCUGCCUUAGUCAACCACAAAAUGCUCCCUCUUCCUUUGCUUUCCUUCCUAAAUUUCCUUCUUUCCUUCCUUUUUUUCUAAACCUUUGCUUUAGUAUUCCAUUCUGCCUCAGUUUCUCCUCAGAAUGCCUCUUCUUCCUUUUCUUUAUUUCCUAACAUUUAUUUCCUUCCUUACUGCAAAAUCUUUUCCUUUUCUUUCCUUCCUAAACUUAUUCACCUCCUUUCUUCCUGUAUUUCUUCUGCACUGCCUUAGUUUCUUUCAGGCUGCUUCCUUUCUUCUCCUUUUCUAACAUUUCCUCCCUCCCUUCCUAAAUCUAUUCAUUUAUUGUUUCCUCAUACCUGCCUCCCACCAUAGUUUCCUGUUCUUCCUUUUCUUUCCCUAAUGUGCAUUUAUUUACUAAUUUAUUUAUUUCAUUUCAGCUCAUUUUCUCUCAAAAACUCUUUCUGUUUGUGCAAAUUUACUAAAUUAAAAAUUUAUGGGGAUCUGCCCCCCCCCCCACAAUUUCAUAACAAUAUUUUUUCUUUGGGUGACACUCAAAGACCACCAAGGAAAUUGUGCUAAAGAGAAUGUGCCAAGGGCAAGAUAGCUUGGACCACUCUCUGAUUCAUACCCCCAGCCCCAGGAUUACACACACAUGAAGGUGAUAGCUGGUUGGUGAAAAACUCUGUGUGAGAGGCAGGCAAGGGAAGAUCUCCCAAGGUGAGAGACUGGGAGAAGAAAGGGAAGGUCUCAGAUCUGGGAAUGUGAAGAAUGAAGCUUAAGAAUGGCAAAAAGGAGAAACUGAAAUGAGCAGAUCCACCUAUCCCUA